UAUACUUGAUGUAUACCCAGCCUUAAUAACAAAGUAAAGGUUGACGCAUACAGCCAAUUAUAGCAACAAAUCAGUGAGCCAUAACAAAGGCAUAGCAGAAAAUAUCCAGCCACUAUAAAGCAAAGCACGACAUAUAGUAUAUAGCUUUAGCGUGACGCUAAACUAAGGUCCAAAUUUAAUAGUGCUAAGUAAAUUACACUAUAGCACAUUAUUUGCAAAAAAAUCAAUUUAGUGCAUAACAUGUUGAGCUUUAAUUUUGCGCAAUAGCCCAUUAUUUAAAAUAAAAUAAAGUAGUAGGAGUCCUCUGCCAUGAGACGACCAUGAACAAAUGUGUUGCAGAGCGGAGGGCCCAACUACACAGUAGAGCUGGGCAGGUACGAUGGGAAGAUCUCGACGACGAACAGCGUCAUGCUGCCGCACGUCGACGACAACCUCGACAGCCUCAAUUCCUUCUUCUAUACCCUAGGCCUCUCCCAGAUCGACAUGAUCGCAUUAUCAGGUACAUGAUUCAUCUCAUCACAUCGUCGACUUCUGAAUCUGAUCACGUCGGCCGGCCUGUUGUUGACCACCAUCUACCACCCCCUCAGGUGCCCACACCUUGGGAGCGGCCGACUGCGGCUUCUUCCAGCACAGGACCAGGGGCAAGGAUCCGAGCAUGAACCCGAGCUUUGACGCGCAGCUUCAGGGCACCUGUGCCAGACAGAACUUUGCGUUCCUGGAUGACGUGACACCGGUGGGAUUCGACAACUCCUACUUCAAGCUCCUGCAGAAUGGCAGGGGCCUCCUGGGCUCCGACCAGGUGUUGUACACAGACCAGAGAUCACGCGGUACCAUAGACUACUAUGCGUCCAACCAGGGCAUCUUCUUCUACGACUUUAGCAUCGCCAUGACAAAGCUCGGCAAGGUCGGGGUCAAGACGGCCACUGACGGCGAGAUACGCCGUGACUGUCGGUAUCCAAAUUAGAUACUUAUAGCAUAUGAAGAUUGCUCAUUGUCCAAACAUACCGCUGUCUAUAAAUGGACUAUAAAAUGUGUAGGGGUGAAUUCCAUAUAUGCCAUUGUAAAUUUACGCCUACCCUCAUAUGUUAUUCCAAAUAUGUCACUGAAAUUUUGCAACAUGUAUACAUAUUACACUACUGUCGCUUGACUGGUAGUGGUCGUCAAGUGGCAGCUGAAAAAUAUAAUUUCGCCCUUGGUCAUAUCUUGUGGUGAUUUAGCCAAAUGACUGAAUUUUGCAGCGUAGUAAACACAUAGGAACAUGGGACCCGAUCAUAACUGCAAUUCUGUGCAUGACUUAGCUCACUUUUUAAAAUUUCAUUGAUGGAUAGUCCAUAUUCAAGAACAAAUAAGAUUCACUCCUUGUUAAACAAUGAUUUCAGCAUUUCAUACGUUGAGGGAAGAACAGAUCUGAGAAUCAAGCACUCAUCCAAAAUCUCCACCCACAUCCCAGGAAUCAGUGUAAUUUUGUACUCCCUCUGAUCCAAUUUAAUUGAUGCAGCCUCUAUACAACUAGGCGAAUACUAAUUCAGAUCGGAGCUCUCGAGGAGCAAGAUGGAGCACAGUGGGGGUCGAGGAGUAGCACCGGAUCGCCGUGUAGCUGCAGUGGUUGUAGGUGUGGCUCACACUGUAAAGGUGGAGCCCAACGGCGGCGGUGUGAGCUGAUGUGUAUAACCCUAGGCAGUCCUUGCUGCUUAGGGACCGGGCAAAGAGAGAAUGCAUGAAGCUGUUGCCGUCGUGGCCAUGGCUGUUGCGCAGGAAGACGCCGAGCGUGAGAUGGUGGAAGAAGCGGCCGGAGGAGGACCUUGCUAAAGCAGUGUGGGAAGAGGGCAAGGCCGGAGCGACCCUUGUACUUGCUGCCGCCACGGCCCUCCUGUGUGCCGUGCUACAAGCGGUUGCUCGAGGAGGCGAUCGCUGGUGUGGGGGGAGGGGGACUUGGGCCAGUGGCAGGGGAGGGAGACCAGGGCCAUCUGCUGUAGGAGUGCGGCGGCCACCGGCUGGGGAGGGUGACCGGGACUGGUGGCAGCUGAAGAGGGAAUGGCGACGACGCCUGCAUCGUGGGAGGAGAGUCAAGGGAAGAAGGUUGUGCCUAGUGCGCGGGACAUACGUAGGUUUUAUUUUUCUUUUAUUUCUUUCUGACAGAUGGGUCCAGGGGAAAGAUUGGGAUUAUGAAAAUAAUUUUUUUUCUAAAACACAGUAUAGACGCGGGCGCUCAUAUACACACGCGUACACUCACCCCUACGAACACACAUGCACACCCUAUCGUUAUGAGCACCUCCGAGAGAUUGAGCUGACAAAUCAUCUUGAGAUUGACGGAGUCACUACAGGCGCCUGGUAGUCGACAGAAACGUCUCCUCCUGAACGUGCAUCACCGGAAAUCCUGAUAUAAAUCUAGAGUAAUAUGAGCACCAGAAUUUAAACCCUGAUGGGCUGGGAAUACCACUCUCCUCCUAACCAUCCAGCACAUGUUGGUUCGCAAAGAGGGGUCAACUUACGAUACUGGAAUAUAUGCACUUGGUGCAAAAUUUUGAUGACGUAUUUUGAAGAGGGAUUAAAUGGCAUAUGGGGAUAUGGUAAAAUUUUCAGUGACAUGUAAUGGUCGAUCUGUUCUGAAUUAUGUCAAGUUCAUGCAUGCCUUACUGACGGGUCUAUUCCACAAGCAACCUUAAGAGCUUAUUCUAUACAUGAAAAAAAUUAUCAUGUACAACAAACGGACUGCUCUACUCACUUGACCUUGUUCCACAAGGGCAUCAGAAAGGAUUUCCCAUGCCGCUACCGGGCAUUUCAUGUGCCAUUUUGUUGAUCUGCAACUUCCAGCGAUGAAACCCUAGUAGAGCAAUAAAUUUCUCGAAUAUUGCACGCAUGCCCGAAAAAUGCGGGGCGUGGCAAAUGUCAUGCGGUUGCCCCCUUUUAGAGCACGAGAAGUUUCGAGGCCAACGGAGCAACAGAACCAGCACUUCCUGCACAAACCAGACACGUUCUCUCUUGAUACCCAGAGGCUAGCUCAGAGACGGUGCGGUUUACAAGCGGCCUCAGGGAAAAAAUAGUUGAAUUAAUAAAAAAACGCCGGCAUCCACCAUUUAGAAGAUGGUCUAUCAUUUUGAAUCUUCUCUGCCCGAAACAGGUGAAGAUUCAAAGUGAUAGUUCAUCUUUUUAAUAAAAGUGUAAUGAAUACCGAAGCUUACUGCGCAUCUGGAUUAUCCCACUAUUUAAACAUGUUAUUUUGCUUGACUCUAGGCGAGGUGGGACUAAAGUUUGAUGGUAGCCUUAUCUUUACUGAGAGCAACUCUCGGCAACAGUUCCUUUACAGAGAGCAACUCUCGGAACAGGUAUUGUUGGAUCAUAAAAUUAGUACAUAUUCAUAAUUGUAUACCACCGAAGUACUUUCGACUUUUUAAACAGGUCAUGUUGCUUGUCUCUUAGCGAGGUGGGACUAAAUAUUUGCCGAGAGGCACUUUCCGUAAAGAGUUGCAACCGUGACCAUGCUGUUAUUUGCCGCCGGAGGUGCCACGUGGCAAAACUUUGCCGUGUGGUGACCUGUUGGCCCUCGGCAAAUAAUGCCUUUGCCGGGUGUUGCUUUUUUGCCAAGUCAUACUCUCGGCAUUAUCAUGUGUUUGCCGAGUGCGGCUCUCGGCGUUCAUUACUUUGCCGACUGCCGUGUUUUGGCUCUUGGCGAAAACUCUGACACCCGGCAACGAAAUUUUCAGUAGUGUAGACAUGUCGGUCCGGAUGUUUGCGGGCGUUUUCGGGACGGUGUUGGAGAUGCCCCAACCACGGUUUUUGGGACGGUUUUCGGGGCGGCGUUGGCUGGGUGUAGCGUCCGCGACGACGCAGCUUCCCAAAACCUCGUGCCCGGCCGUUCACAUCCAAAGAAAUCGUCCUUGACUUGUACGUUUCCAGAACGGUGAGAGGGAGAGCUUGGAGUCUGCCGCAUGAGAGAGGGAGAGCUUGGAGUCUGCCACUUGAGAGUUUAGACAGAUAUGGGAGGCAGUGGAGUUCAAGCUGUGUGAGGCUUAAACCUCGUGGAGAGGCGUGGGCAUGCAUGUGUGUGCUUUUUUAGGAUAACCUCGGCGGCAGAUCCAGCCUGAGAAAAGGAAAAUCCGGUUGUCACUUUCCAUAUGAAUCCUGGGAUGUCAUGUGAGUGAGUGGGACACUCCGGGUCGAAAAUUCUCCAGCACCAUAUGUAUAUCCAAGCAUCCGACGUACUACUUGAACAUCACCGAGACACCAACGUAAUCGUAGCGUGACAAGUAACCGUAGCGUACGUGAGCUUCAGUGCAUCUUUGCUUUAGUCACGCCGGACGGGCAGCGACCGCCGGCCGGUGGACGCGCGACUCCUACCGUCGAACAGUACCAUUAUUACCAGGACUGGAGUAGGGCAGAAGCCAUCACUUUCCAACAGCUAAUUUCGGAAUAGUACUCCCUCCGUCCGGGUGUAUAAGUCAUUUGCGUAGUUCUAGGUCAUCGAUUUGAGGAAUUAAAUAUGUGUUAUAUGUCAUGAAAAGUAUACCACUAGAUUUCCACACGGAUGUAGUUUCUAAAUAUAUAUUUUUUGUCACAUAUAAUACAUAUUUAGAUAGUUAAAUUAUCGACCUAGAACUACGCGAAUGACUUAUACACCGGGACGGAGGUAGUAGUAUUGACAAAAGCAGCUCAAGGCGUCGGUCGAUGCAUUCCAUGGCGAAUCGCGCCGCCAUCAUCUUCGUCGUCGUCCUAAAAGUGGCUGUCCUCUCGUCGUCCGCAGCCGCGCAGCUGAGGCCGGACUACUACGCCGGCGUCUGCCCCAACCUGGAGGGCAUCGUCCGGAGCUCCGUGAAGCAGUCCAUGGUCAAGUCCCCCAUCUCCGCGCCCGCUACCCUCAGGCUCUUCUUCCACGACUGCGCCGCCACGGUAUUGGUACACAUUGACGCAAGUAAUAAAUUGAUGGCUGUUGUGCAAGACUGGCAGACCAACGCACGUCAUGCGUGCAGGGCUGUGAUGCGUCGGUCAUGAUCAUGGGCUCAACCGGAGACGACGAGAACCCCGACAAAUAUUCGUUGAAGCCGGAGGGGUUCCAGACGAUCCUGGACGCCAAGGCCGCCGUGGACAGCGACCCGCAGUGCCGUUACAAGGUGUCCUGCGCCGACAUAAUCGCCCUUGCCACAAGAGAGUCCGUCUCCCAGGUAGGAUGACUAUUCGCUGAACGAAUGUGUGACAUGGCGUAUGAGACAAUCCUUAGAUUCAAUCUGUGAAAGUUUCAAGAAGUUUUGCCCGAUGGAUAAAAAACUACAAGUAAAUUUUGGAUUCACCAGAUGGUGACAUGGCGGUAUGACGACUAAGGCGCUGACUUGGAUGUUGAUUGGUCAAAACCAGUCAAAAAAAAGAGAGUAAAAAACCACCUCAAGGUUGUUGUUUGUCCGGUAUGGAAAGUUGAGAGUUGUAAAUUAGAUGAUUUUGUACCUUAGGGUUGUGUUUUGAACUUUGGAGGUAGUUUGAGGUUGUAAUAUGAACUUCUCUCUUCCCUGAACGAAUUUGUCUGCACUCUGUAGAGCGGAGGGCCGAACUACACAGUGGAGCUCGGCAGGUACGAUGGAAAGAAGUCGACGGACAGAAGCGUCAGGCUGCCGCACCCCGGCGACAACCUCGACAGCCUCAAUGCCUACUUCU
Molecule: long non-coding RNA, 5643 nt
Filed under: Triticum aestivum (bread wheat)
Lineage: Eukaryota; Viridiplantae; Streptophyta; Magnoliopsida; Poales; Poaceae
Description: long non-coding RNA (TAES_LNC011153)
Source: RNAcentral